Molecule: ribosomal RNA, 405 nt
Filed under: uncultured bacterium
Lineage: Bacteria
Description: bacterial SSU rRNA
Rfam family: Bacterial small subunit ribosomal RNA
Source: RNAcentral
UGGGGAAUAUUGCACAAUGGGGGGAACCCUGAUGCAGCGACGCCGCGUGGAGGAAGAAGGUCUUCGGAUUGUAAACUCCUGUUGUUGGGGACGAUAAUGACGGUACCCAACAAGGAAGUGACGGCUAACUACGUGCCAGCAGCCGCGGUAAAACGUAGGUCACAAGCGUUGUCCGGAAUUACUGGGUGUAAAGGGAGCGCAGGCGGGAAGACAAGUUGGGAGUGAAAUCUAUGGGCUCAACCCAUAAACUGCUCUCAAAACUGUUUUCUUGAGUAGUGCAGAGGUAGGCGAAUUCCCGGUGUAGCGGUGGAAUGCGUAGAUAUCGGGAGAACACCAGUGGCGAAGGCGGCCUACUGGGCACCAACUGACGCUGAGGCUCGAAAGUGUGGGUAGCAAACAGGAUUA